RNAcentral lists this ribosomal RNA (291 nucleotides) under Triticum aestivum (bread wheat). RNAcentral's name for it is "partial small subunit ribosomal RNA". The record is from RNAcentral. Lineage: Eukaryota; Viridiplantae; Streptophyta; Magnoliopsida; Poales; Poaceae.
AUGACAUGCUUGAGCUGGAACUGCCGGGGGCUUGGGAACCCCGAGGCAGUUCGCGAGCUUCGUAGUAUAGUGAAGCUAGAAGGACUCACUCUUCUCUUUGUGAUGGAAACGAAAAUUCAAGCUAAAAGAGUUGAGGCUUUGAAGUACACUCUCGGUUUUGGAGGGUGUUUUGCAGUCGACAGUGUUGGCCUAAGUGGUGGCAUUGGUCUGUUUUGGUCACGUGAUGUGACUGUUGAGUUGAAAAAUUUCAGCAAGUGUCACAUUGAUGUGGUGGUUCAUAGUAACAAUUAG